CCUACGGGUGGCAGCAGUGGGGAAUAUUGCACAAUGGGGGGAACCCUGAUGCAGCGACGCCGCGUGAGUGAAGAAUUAUUUAGGUAUGUAAAGCUCUAUCAGUAGGGAAGAAAAUGACGGUACCUGACUAAGAAGCCCCGGCUAACUAAGUGCCAGAAGCCGCGGUAAUACGUAGGGGGCAAGCGUUAUCCGGAUUUACUGGGUGUAAAGGGAGCGUAGACGGGUAUGCAAGUCUGAAGUGAAAGCACAAGGCUCAACCAUGGGAUUGCUUUUUAAACUGUAAAACUGGAGUUCAGGAGAGGUAAGCGGAAUUCCUAGUGUAGCGGUGAAAUGCGUAGAUAUUAGGAAGAACACCAGUGGCGAAGGCGGCUUACUGGACUGUAACUGACGUUGAGGAUCGAAAGCGUGGGUAGCAAACAGGAUUAGAUACCCUUGUAGUC
This 440-nucleotide ribosomal RNA is filed under the name uncultured bacterium. RNAcentral's name for it is "partial 16S ribosomal RNA". It matches the Rfam family "Bacterial small subunit ribosomal RNA", at positions 338 to 795 of the family's 1533-position model. The record is from RNAcentral.